AACUUUCGGCAACGGAUCACUUGGUUCUGGCAUCGAUGAAGAACGCAGCGAAAUGCGCUAAGUAAUGUGAAUUGCAGAAUUUAGUGAAUCAUCGAAUCUUUGAACGCAUAUUGCGCCCUUUGGUAAUCCGAAGGGCAUGCCUGUUCGAGCGUCAUUAACAACCGUCAAGCCUGGCUUGGUGUUGGACGUCGGGCGUCGAGCCCGUGUCCCAAAGACAGUGGCGGUGUCGAUUCAGUCCUCGGUGCAACGAGCUCCACGAGCACGCACCGGAGGGGCCAUCGGCGCCCGCCUAGACCCCCUAAUUUUCUCAGGUUGACCUCGGAUCAGGUAGGAAUACCCGCUGAACUUAAGCAUAUCAAUAAGCGGAGGCU
RNAcentral lists this unclassified non-coding RNA (371 nucleotides) under uncultured Chaetothyriales. RNAcentral's name for it is "sequence contains ITS2". The stretch from base 1 to 154 matches the Rfam family "5.8S ribosomal RNA". Lineage: Eukaryota; Fungi; Ascomycota; Eurotiomycetes; Chaetothyriales. The record is from RNAcentral.